Cyprinus carpio carpio is the source of this 2497-nucleotide long non-coding RNA. The record is from Ensembl. NCBI's taxonomy places the organism in Eukaryota, Metazoa, Chordata, Actinopteri, Cypriniformes, Cyprinidae.
CUACAGAUGACAUCACUUCCUCUGUGCCUGUACUUCAUCAUAGCAGAAGCACUCACUUUAUUACAAAGAGCUGACACGAUGAACACUUUCCUUAUCAGAUCUGCAUGUCUGUUGUGGCUAACAGUGGCAAACCAUGCAAAAACUGUUCUCCAGAGACCUGACAACCUCAUAAAGAACCAAAAUGAAUCGGCUGUUAUCGGCUGUUCUCACAGUAUACAGAGCUACAACCGAAUGCUGUGGUACAAACAGAGUCAGGACAUGCCUGGAUUCAAGUUUUUGGGAUACCUUUUUAGUGGUGAAAAUAUAGAGCCUGAAUUUACAGACAAGAUCAAAUUGAAGGGAGAUGCAUCAAAAAAUGGCAGUCUGACUAUCAACAACCUCACACCACAAGACAGCGCAGUGUAUUUCUGUGCAGCAUAUUACACAGUGAUAUAGAUAAUGAAACCUUAAUACAAAAAGCUCUCUAGUCUGUGCCUCUGCAUCAGCUCUGCCUCACCUGCGAAGGGCUCAGGGUUUGAUUUGCGGCCAACAUUGAGGUGAAUUAUCUCGUUAAAUAACAUGUACACAAAUGUCUAACAGUGUUUGAGGAAUCCCAUAUGAGAACAGAACAAUCCCACCACAUUUUGACCUCAUAGUCAGCUAAAUUGAUACACAAGUUAUAUACUUAGCAUCCUAGAACAGCAGAGGGAAUUCUUUGGUAAUGCUAAAUCUGGACAGCACUGAAAAAUAUACAUAAUUUAGCGAUUUUAAAAUGCACUUUUAAAGAAUUAUUAACAUACAUACAUACAUAUAUAUAAAGAGAAAACCAUUACUGUUUAUUAUGAUUUUCUCUUUUAACCUUUUUUUGUGUAACUCACUAAUUUGUUGUCAGUGCCCCCAGAGAUGACAUCAUUUCCUACUAGAACUGCCUUCUUGCAUUUAUUUCACAGCACUGUCACCAAAAGUAAAGAUGACUAGCAUUAUUACAAGUGUUUGUGUUUCUCUAGUAUGUCUCACAGGUAACCAUAUGUCAUAGACUUUUGUUUAUGUUUAUGAAUGUUUAUUAUAUGUAUUUGUUUUACACUGAUUGCCAUUGUAUAUGUGUAUUUUCUCUCAUUACAGUUGUAUUUGGUAAAACUGCUUUCCAGUCACCUGGUGACCUCAUUAAGAACCAGGAUGAAUCUGCUGUAAUCAUAUGUACACACAAUAUAGCAAACUAUGACCGUAUUCUUUGGUACAAAAAAGACAUCAUGGGCUUCAAGUUCAUGGGAUUCCUUAAUCUUGACUUUAAAUACCCAGAGCCUGAAUUUGAAAACAAGAUCAAACUGGAUGGAGAUGGAAGAAAUAAUGGCACUCUGACUAUCAACACCCUCACGCUGACUGACAGUGCAGUGUAUUUCUGUGCAGCAUAUUACACAGUGCUCAGAAUCACCCCUAUCUGAUACAAAAACCCUUCUCAGUUCAAACUUUAAAUUCAGUGCUUAUCAGCAAAUUCACUCCCACUCUGCACCUGGACUUGUGGAGUUUGAAUAACUACCAGUAAUGAGAAAAACAAAGUCUUAGCAUUGCACAAAUACAUUGUUCCUUCCUUCAUAUAAAACUGAUUAGUUUAAAAUAGACUUCUAAUAGACUGAAUUUAUCGAUUCAUUCCUGUUAUGCAGUACCCUCUGAAUUGAAUUUCAAAAUGUGACAACAGAAACAAAAAAUUUACUUUCUUUAGGAUGGUGCCAUAAAAUAAAUAAAUAAAUAAUAAUAAUAAUAAUAAUAAAAACCUUUUGUUAUGUGAAAGGACAUAGGACAAAAUAAAUGAAGGAUCUGGAACCUGUAUAUGUGCUGUAUAUAAGUGCUUACAUACAGUAAGUGCAUACAAAUCGCUGCAGUUACCAGUUGAAAUAAACACUAGAGGCAGUAAAACUCCUUCUUUUUCACAUGUAUGAUUUGCAGGUCCACAGUUUAGAAUAAUAAAGCCUAAUUUUCGCAUAAUUACAUUAUGUUAAGGAAUAUUAUGUUAUGAAUGCAAAACAAUUUUAACAUGCUGCGAGAUUUGAAAACUGGUGCAUUUGUAGGUAAGUGUCACAUAUCAAGCUUUAUAUGCAUGAGUUUUUUUCUAUUUCAGUAGGUUUGCUCGGUAGCUCACGGGAUUGUUAACAGUAUCAGGUAGGUUUAGGUUGGGUUUGGUGUAGGGGAUAUUUCCAACAAGAUACAGCAUUAAUUUUCAGCAACACUCCUCGAAUAUUUGAAUUAUGAACCACCGCAAUACGUACCUGAAGCAAUGUAAUACAAAUACAGCAAUAUGUGCCUAUAUCAAAGUAACAAAUACGUGCCAGGGUCACAUAUUGAAUCUGCGUUUCACUUUGAAACUGCAGUGAAAUGUGCAGUAAGGUACGUAAAAACAAAAGUUAAAUAAAUAAAUCAAUAAAAUCCUGCACAUACAGUAUUUAAAAUAAAAAUAAAAGUAGUGCUCCUUGUUUUGUGGAAUUAAACUCAAUUCAUUGCUAGCACUAACCAGAGAGAUACA